RNAcentral lists this ribosomal RNA (254 nucleotides) under uncultured bacterium. RNAcentral describes it as "partial 16S ribosomal RNA". It matches the Rfam family "Bacterial small subunit ribosomal RNA", at positions 524 to 776 of the family's 1533-position model. The record is from RNAcentral.
UACGUAGGGACCAAGCGUUGUUCGGAUUUACUGGGCGUAAAGGGCGCGUAGGUGGCCUGUGCAAGCGUGCGGUGAAAGCUCGGGGCUCAACCCCGAGUCGGCCGUGCGAACUGCUGGGCUCGAGCACUGUAGAGGCAGGCGGAAUUCCGGGUGUAGCGGUGGAAUGCGUAGAGAUCCGGAAGAACACCGGUGGCGAAGGCGGCCUGCUGGGCAGUGGCUGACACUGAGGCGCGACAGCGUGGGGAGCAAACAGG